This 303-nucleotide ribosomal RNA is filed under the name uncultured bacterium. RNAcentral's name for it is "partial 16S ribosomal RNA". It matches the Rfam family "Bacterial small subunit ribosomal RNA", at positions 507 to 807 of the family's 1533-position model. The record is from RNAcentral.
AGCAGUCGCCGCGGUAAUACAGAGGGUGCGAGCGUUAAUCGGAUUUACUGGGCGUAAAGCGUGCGUAGGCGGCUUUUUAAGUCGGAUGUGAAAUCCCUGAGCUUAACUUAGGAAUUGCAUUCGAUACUGGGAAGCUAGAGUAUGGGAGAGGAUGGUAGAAUUCCAGGUGUAGCGGUGAAAUGCGUAGAGAUCUGGAGGAAUACCGAUGGCGAAGGCAGCCAUCUGUCCUAAUACUGACGCUGAGGUACGAAAGCAUGGGGAGCAAACAGGAUUAGAGACCCCGGUAGUCCCUGUCUCUUAUAC